Long non-coding RNA from Myripristis murdjan (pinecone soldierfish), 918 nucleotides. RefSeq lists it as uncharacterized. The transcript has 2 exons. Lineage: Eukaryota; Metazoa; Chordata; Actinopteri; Holocentriformes; Holocentridae. The record is from RefSeq and is a predicted model, not a curated record.
UGCUGAGGGGAUCAGCUGCAGGCCUGAGACACGGCCAGCAGGGGGCAGCACAUGAAAACUGAAGAAGCAGAAGAAAAUGUGUUUCUCUGAGGUUUUUUCUCUGCAUUUUGCCCCCGUCCCUCGGCUCCAUCACUUCUGUGUUAACCAGAUAUCCACCUGUGUCCUGUGCACCGUCCACACCACAGAAGAAGACCACAGCUGAGACCAGAUCAGUGUUCCUGUGGCCUGAAGGUCGAGGCGGAGGGAACGGGCUGUUUUCAGAUCGAGGCCUAAACGGAGAGGCGACGCUGACUGAUCAAAGAAAUAUUGUGCCGCCCAGCAUUUUGGAAACAAACUCUGUUGAUUUGCUCAUAAAGUGAAGCUGCAGAUGCCUAAGGUGUGCAGAUUACAUUCUGUUAGUGUGCAGGUGAGUCCCUGUGAGUCCCUGAGAGGCUGCGGCUCCUCCUCCUCGCCGUCCGGACGCUCCGCUCCUCCUCCGGCUUCAACUCUCUGUCUGGGUGUUAAAAGCUCAGCUGUUUGUGCUCAGCCGCCGCCAGGUGGCGCCGUGCUCAGUCUGAAGAUGCCGUGGUCCCGCCUGCGGGCCGCCGCCGCAGUUCCCGGUCGGGCCUGCGGGUGGCGCCGCGGCCCCUGAGCCCCGGCCUGUGUCUUCAGGAGAACUUCUUUUUGGUGGCGGUGAAGCGCUCCAUGUACUGAGAGGAGAAGCAGCACUGAUUAUCUGAUAUUCAUAUAUGAUAUCAUCAUCUGAUUAUUAGAAAACAAACCUGGAUCAAUUAAAAAAAACAUCUUGUAUUAUUAAAUUAGUAUUUUAGAAAGAAUUAGAAAGUUAGAAGAAGCUGGCCAUAAAUGAAACCAAACAUAACCUGAAAAUCUGAAGAAAUGACCGUGUUUAUAAUUAUUAAAAUAAUGUAUUAACCUUCA